Molecule: ribosomal RNA, 484 nt
Filed under: uncultured bacterium
Lineage: Bacteria
Description: partial 16S ribosomal RNA
Rfam family: Bacterial small subunit ribosomal RNA
Source: RNAcentral
AUUGAACGCUGGCGGCAGGCCUAACACAUGCAAGUCGAGCGGAUGAAGGGAGCUUGCUCCUGGAUUCAGCGGCGGACGGGUGAGUAAUGCCUAGGAAUCUGCCUGGUAGUGGGGGAUAACGUCCGGAAACGGGCGCUAAUACCGCAUACGUCCUGAGGGAGAAAGUGGGGGAUCUUCGGACCUCACGCUAUCAGAUGAGCCUAGGUCGGAUUAGCUAGUUGGUGGGGUAAAGGCCUACCAAGGCGACGAUCCGUAACUGGUCUGAGAGGAUGAUCAGUCACAGGGGAAUGGAGACACGGCCAGGCCCCCGACGGGGGGAGGAGGGGGGAAAGAUUGGACAAGGGGCAAAGGCCGGACCCAGCCAGGCGGGGGGUGGAAAGAGGGUCUCUGAAUUGUAAGGCAUUUUAAGUGGGGGGAAGGGGAAGAAAUUUAAUACCUUGUUUUUUGGACGUAACAAAAAAAAAAAGCCCCGGAAACCUUGGGC